This 232-nucleotide unclassified non-coding RNA is filed under the name uncultured bacterium. Its description in RNAcentral is "contains 16S-23S intergenic spacer region". The record is from RNAcentral.
GCGCGCGACGUGACCAUGCUCCUCGUGUCGCAGGCUCCAUUGCAGAAGGUGCAGUCGUACAAGCGGCGCAUCGGUUGGGACAUCCCGUGGGCGUCAUCGGCCAGCAGCGAGUUCAACUUCGACCUCGGCUACUCGAUCACCGAGGAACAGUCGUGCACGUGGGUCGCGCAGAACCUCGGGUCCCUGCCGCCGAUCGUCGACCGCAACGCCAGUUCGAGCGGCACCGACAUCG